AAAGAGUAAUCAAAAGAAGCCAUAGCACUAUUCGGUUGCUCCUAAACCAAUUAGUACUGAACCCACUACUAGAUCGACCUUCUCUCCCUGGUGUUCGGCUAGAACUUAAUUAAUCUUCGAAACGAAGGAGAAUUCUUAGGACUUGAUCGCGCAGAUAACGAGGACUUCAACUGUUGCCUCCCUAAAUUUCUCUGCAAAUCUAAGUCUAUUAUUGUUAUUCACGUCCUCCAUCAUCACACUAGAAGGAAAUU
RNAcentral lists this long non-coding RNA (251 nucleotides) under Panax ginseng (ginseng). Its description in RNAcentral is "long non-coding RNA (PGIN_LNC015367)". Lineage: Eukaryota; Viridiplantae; Streptophyta; Magnoliopsida; Apiales; Araliaceae. The record is from RNAcentral.